CCUACGGGGGGCUGCAGUGGGGAAUAUUGGGCAAUGGGCGAAAGCCUGACCCAGCGACGCCGCGUGAGGGAAGAAGGUCUUCGGAUUGUAAACCUCUGUUGACGGGGACGAAUAAAUGACGGUACCUGUCGAGGAAGCCACGGCUAACUACGUGCCAGCAGCCGCGGUAAUACGUAGGUGGCAAGCGUUAUCCGGAUUUACUGGGUGUAAAGGGUGAGUAGGCGGGUCUGCAAGUCAGGUGUGAAAUACUGCGGCUCAACCGCAGAAUUGCAUUUGAAACUACGGAUCUUGAGUGUCGGAGAGGUAAUUGGAAUUCCCAGUGUAGCGGUGAAAUGCGUAGAGAUUGGGAGGAACACCAGUGGCGAAGGCGGAUUACUGGACGACAACUGACGCUGAGGCACGAAAGCGUGGGGAGCAAACAGGAUUAGAUACCCUUGUAGUC
This 442-nucleotide ribosomal RNA is filed under the name uncultured Oscillospiraceae bacterium. Its description in RNAcentral is "bacterial SSU rRNA". It matches the Rfam family "Bacterial small subunit ribosomal RNA", at positions 338 to 795 of the family's 1533-position model. Lineage: Bacteria; Bacillati; Bacillota; Clostridia; Eubacteriales; Oscillospiraceae. The record is from RNAcentral.